RNAcentral lists this ribosomal RNA (488 nucleotides) under Streptococcus parasanguinis. RNAcentral's name for it is "bacterial SSU rRNA". It matches the Rfam family "Bacterial small subunit ribosomal RNA", at positions 28 to 500 of the family's 1533-position model. Lineage: Bacteria; Bacillati; Bacillota; Bacilli; Lactobacillales; Streptococcaceae. The record is from RNAcentral.
GAUGAACGCUGGCGGCGUGCCUAAUACAUGCAAGUAGAACGCUGAAGCUUGGUGCUUGCACCGAGCGGAUGAGUUGCGAACGGGUGAGUAACGCGUAGGUAACCUGCCUCUUAGCGGGGGAUAACUAUUGGAAACGAUAGCUAAUACCGCAUAAAAGACGAUAUCGCAUGAUAUUGAUUUGAAAGAUGCAAUUGCAUCACUAAGAGAUGGACCUGCGUUGUAUUAGCUAGUUGGUGAGGUAACGGCUCACCAAGGCGACGAUACAUAGCCGACCUGAGAGGGUGAUCGGCCACACUGGGACUGAGACACGGCCCAGACUCCUACGGGAGGCAGCAGUAGGGAAUCUUCGGCAAUGGGGGCAACCCUGACCGAGCAACGCCGCGUGAGUGAAGAAGGUUUUCGGAUCGUAAAGCUCUGUUGUAAGAGAAGAACGAGUGUGAGAGUGGAAAGUUCACACUGUGACGGUAACUUCCAGAAAGGACGGCUAA